UCGAGAAUCUUCGGCAAUGGGCGCAAGCCUGACCGAGCGACGCCGCGUGUGGGAUGAAGGCCUUCGGGUUGUAAACCACUGUCGGAGGGGAUGAAAUGCGGGUGGGUUCUCCCAUUCGUUUGACAUAUCCUCGGAGGAAGGACGGGCUAAGUUCGUGCCAGCAGCCGCGGUAAGACGAACCGUCCGAACGUUAUUCGGAAUCACUGGGCUUAAAGGGUGCGUAGGCGGCGCGGAAAGUUGGGUGUGAAAUCCCUCGGCUCAACCGAGGAACUGCGCCCAAAACUACCGUGCUCGAGGGAGAUAGAGGAGAGCGGAACUUAGGGUGGAGCGGUGAAAUGCGUUGAUAUCCUAAGGAACACCGGUGGCGAAAGCGGCUCUCUGGAUCUCUUCUGACGCUGAGGCACGAAAGCUAGGGUAGCGAACGG
RNAcentral lists this ribosomal RNA (425 nucleotides) under uncultured bacterium. RNAcentral describes it as "bacterial SSU rRNA". It matches the Rfam family "Bacterial small subunit ribosomal RNA", at positions 355 to 775 of the family's 1533-position model. The record is from RNAcentral.